Poecilia latipinna (sailfin molly) is the source of this 1199-nucleotide long non-coding RNA. RefSeq lists it as uncharacterized. NCBI's taxonomy places the organism in Eukaryota, Metazoa, Chordata, Actinopteri, Cyprinodontiformes, Poeciliidae. The transcript has 2 exons. The record is from RefSeq and is a predicted model, not a curated record.
GAAGCGGGGGGGACACGAGGGGGACAUGUCCCCCCCAAUAUUGGAGAGAGUCACAUUCGUCCCCCCCAAUAAUUUCACCGCUGUUGCGAAGAAUUUUAAAAUCUUCCACUCGCGUGCUUUUAUUUUGAAGGCGCACAACAGCGCAUUCAGCGGAGCGCUUCCUCCCCCUCCCCCCUCUGAACGGCUCAGAGUAAAGGCAGCAGCAGACAGAGUCAGAGAAACUCCGUUUGAAGGAGGUAAACUGUCUGUCAGGAAUUUUGCUAUGAAUAUCGCUCGGUUAUAACAUCUUGUUGUCAGUUUACUUUCGUAUAUAGAACUAAAUCUUUUAGGUUAAGCCGUUUUAAUUCUGGGAUAGUCACAUGUCCAAAAUUUUACUGCUAACUUUGUUUAAAAGUUAGCUAGUCUAGUUACAAUGAUUUAUUUAAUCAGAAUGAGACUGAAACAGCAGCGAAAUUAGCCUUUUUAUUAUGUAAAGUGAGCAACAUCUGAUCAUACACGACCACUUAACGUGUAAUUAUAUAUUAUAUUAUAUUAUAUUAUAUUAUAUUAUAUUAUAUUAUAUUAUAUUAUAUUAUAUAUUUAGGAGAACAGCACAGUGCUAGAAUGAUGUUGAAGAAAGGUGAAGAAGCUCUGGUGAGGUCUUCAUUUAGUUUAUUGAAAUAUGUAUUAACUGUUUUUAAUUUUUAAAUAAACUAAACUAUUUUAUUAUGAGAGGAGCAGGUCAGGGAAGGCAUAGGAGAGCCAGGUGGAGUUUCAGAGUGUGAAGAUAUAAAAAUGAUAUUAAUUACAAUAAAACCAGAAAGGAGAACAGGUGAAGACUGAUGUCAGGUUGAUUUCUUUCAACGUUACAAUAUUUUUUUCAUUAUUUCCACACUUUAAGGGUAAUGGUUAGGAGGCAAUAAGAAAAGUGCUUGAGGAGAGGUUUAAAAAUAAAUUAGUGAAAAUUUUUGCUACACAGUAAAUAGAGUUGAGUUGUAUAAUGAUGUAUACAUCUGAAAAUUAAAUUGCUUAAAUUCUCAUUCUGUAUGAUAAAAACAUACUUUUUAUAUUUAGUUCACAUUCUGACACUGUACAUUACUGUAGUGUCUGUUGUAAAUACAUGAAUCCAUGCAGGAACAUCAGGCUGCAGAGAGUCAGAGGGAGGCAGAACACAUAUCCAUAGAUAUUUUAGUUAAAUAUUUGUGGCUGAAAAUGACAGG